Molecule: non-coding RNA, 2789 nt
Organism: Myodes glareolus (Bank vole)
Lineage: Eukaryota; Metazoa; Chordata; Mammalia; Rodentia; Cricetidae
Source: RefSeq, a predicted model, not a curated record
UGCAGUAAUGCCCAUCAUUUGGGACCUUAGAAUGCCUGCUUAGAGUCGCUUGAAAUACUAAUUAAAAGCUCAGAUUCCUCAGACUUGAGCCGCGGGGCUGCGAUUUCAUAGGUCUGGGAGGUGAGCCGAGAAUCAGAUCCUGAAAAUUCUCACAUGCUUCUCCACAGCAAAGAGAGCCGCAAGCAGCUAGAAGACAGGUGCUCAGGGAGCUGAACCAGAACAACAGCUACAAGGAAAAAGGUGACCAGAAGCACGAGGCUAAGGAACUAUUUCUACUCUUCAGAUUAGUGUGUGUUUAAAAAGUUGCCCGUUUGGAUUCAAUAACAGAUACAAAUUGGCCCCAUCAUUGUUUCUACUAUAAGGUCAGAGCAUGGAAAGACCUGAUUUUUGUUUGUUUGUUUCAGUUAGUGUGUUGCUUUUUUAUUUCAGACUUUUUCUCCUUUCUGGGGUGGGAGGAGCGUGGAUUCUGAAUGACAAACAAAACAAGGGAAUUUGUGGUUUGUAGAACAAAAACUGAAUUCAAGAACUGACAUCUGUCCAGAGAGUAGCUAGGAGAGGUUUUUCACUUCCCUUGAGUGGAAACAAUCCAAAAUCUUGGAGGAUUCUCUCUGGAAGGAGACUUGAGCAGGAGGACCAUGUGGCCAAGCAGGUCUUUCUUUUAGAACCCCCCGGAGCCCUGCUUGAGUGGGCCGGUUGCUUCACCUGCCUGAGAUGCAGGUUUCAUACAAUCUGCUCAGUGUGGGCUUGAGUGUGCAGAGCUGCUGAGCCAAGCUGGAUGCUUUAACGAGAUAGAUGGCUAAGUUAAAAGAACAAAAACAAAGGCAGGUAGAUCUAGAAAGAACAAGAAUUACAAACAGAUAACAAACACAAAAUGCUGGCUCUACAUGUUGCCCCGUGUGGCCAGGCCCUUCUAGCUCUAGUCCACUGUGCCUACAGCAGGCAAACUGUACCACAGCUCCAAAGAGCUGGGGCACAAUGAGUCACCCCCUUGACCUCUUGAGCCCCUGGUUCAUCUGAGAAUUCCCAGCUAUCUUCAUCCAUGACUUUAGAGCCUUCCCAGCCCAGACUUUCCUUAGACUCUGCUGUUCCUGGCGCACCAGUAGCCAGGACACUCAUAGACCAAGGGAAACCCUGCAGCAGGAGUUUCGCUCCCUCACAGGUUCUCAGUAGCCUGCACUUUGUUCUCUCUUCAGGAUGAAGCCCCAUUCAGGUCACCUGCUGUCAGGACCUCCUCGUACUCUUUAUUGCCUGUAGAAUUAAGGCUCAUGGUCCCCCACUGCCAGCCUCGAAUCACCUUCAACACUAAACUCCCACUCCUGAGCCCCUCCACCCCAACAACCCACCGCAGCUUCCAGGGUGCUGAGGGCAACAUGUCGGCCGGGUGCUAAUCUAUUUCCUAAUAUUCCAAUGACAUUCUUAGGGCUAGAUAAUUUAUAAAGAAUAAAAAAGGUUUGUUUAGCUCUUAGUCCCACGAGGCCAAGGGUGUGGCAUCAACUGACAUUACAAGGGCACAGUAUAAGACAGGGAGCCAUGGUUUGGCAGGGUCUCAGUACAGCUACGCUGAUCCUUUCCAAGAGUGGGGCCCCAGAUGGCCUGUCUCUUUUCUAGGCCGUGCCUCCUAGAGAUCCCAGGGCCUCGGACCACUGCAAUGGAGAUCAAGGCUCCAGUAUAUGAAUCUUUGAAGGUCACAAUUGACCCUUCACUUGCCGUGGCUUGAGUGUGUCCCCCAGGGUUCCUGUGUUGAAAACCCGAUCCCCAAUUUCAACAGUGUGGGGAGAGCUGGGUGUUGUAAGAGGUGACCGGGUCGUGAUGGGCUGCCCUCCAGAGUGGACCGUGUCAUAACCACAGGAGUGGGUGGAUUUAUUCUAAACAUGACGUUUGGCCUUCUCCUGCCCUCCUGCCCUCUACCACACGAUGAUGCAGCAGGAGAGGCUCUGCCAAGUGCCCGUGCCAUGCUCUUGGUGUUCCUGUCCUCCAGAGCUACCAGCCAAGUAAACUUAUAUUGUUUGUGAAUGAGCCUGUUUCAGCAGCAGACAACAGACUAAGGUAAUCGCCUGUUCUGGUGCCCAUGGCCCUGCAGGCCUUUGGUCUGCGCUUGGCCUCACAGUCCUCAUAUACAAAAAUGCGUCUAUUGAUCAGCCCAUCAGCAGAGGCCGUGCCCACUGCUCCCAGGCCUAGCCUGUUGACACAGCUGCCCUUGUGACUCAGGAGAGCUGUGGGGGACUCAGCUGCUCAGAGGACAACUGAUCGGAGGGUGCUUGCUCCCGUUAGAGAUGGGCGAGAGCCUAGAACCUUCCUAUGAGCAAAGACUUCUCCUGAGGAGGAAAUAGGAAUCACCUUGUUGGCAUGGCUACCCCUCCUCAAGACUGGGACCCAGAAGGGCUGGGAUCGGGGAGUCUGCAAGAGAAGCUGGGUCUGUCUGCCUUUGGGAAGCAGAACAGUGGGGCAGGCUGGGAGGUGGUAGGGAGGUAUGAAACCACUGGGAAAGCAACCACAAUAUUGAUACUGUUUUGCUUAUUAAAAACAGCACUGUUUUUUUCUUAUUAAAAAAAUAUUUCAGACUGGAGAGAUGGCUCAAUGGUUAAGAGCAAGAUCUGUUCCUCUGGAGGACCUGAGUUCUAUUUCCAGCCCUCUCUUGGCAGCGCACAACCAUGUAUAACUCCAGUUCCAGUGAUCCAACCCUCUCUUCUAACCUUCCCAGGUACAGGAUCAAAAGUCCACGGAUAGCAAGGCAAAAGGAAGGCAAAGCACCCAUGUGCAUAAAAUAAAAAAUAAAUUAACAAACCUCA